CAUUCAUAUAUCAAGUAUAAAUUGAUAUGGUUUACACUUUUAUGAAUUUUGUAUUCUAAAUUUAGACCUUCAAAGCAGAAGCCCAAAGCAAUCCCAACCCGGCCCACCUGAAAGAAAUCUCAGUGAAACGACGACGUUGCAUUAACACAACAAACUUGAGGCCGAGGGAUCAUCGAGCAUCGAACACGACGGCGUGAAGAGAUACGAAGAAUGACCGACGACUCUAUCACUUGUGGAAGCUAUACACGCGAGCCCCAUGCUAGCCGUACUCUGUCUCUCCGGCGGCGCCUCUCAGGUUAAUGUCGGUUCCAGGAGCUUCCAACGCCAUGCUUGAAACAGUUGUACCGUACUCCAGAAUGUCCAUAAUUCAGUCACUCGGCAAGGGGAUCGCAAAUGCAUGCAAAAUCCCAGCAACAUUCGUUUCCUGGUUGACUGAAUCUGAAAAAGUUACUGAAUUUGAGGAAUUCUUCAGUGAAGAACAAGAAAUAGAACUCUUUGCUUUCGGGUUUAUCCCUUUUCAAAUGGUUUGCUUUUCAUUGAACAAAGUUAAUUUAAAAUCGGCUUGAGGUUAAUUACUUAAGGUUUGAAUUUGAUUUAAAAAUUAUUUUAGGAUUUAGA
Mangifera indica (mango) is the source of this 618-nucleotide RNA transcript. RefSeq lists it as uncharacterized. The record is from RefSeq and is a predicted model, not a curated record. The transcript is spliced from 3 exons. NCBI's taxonomy places the organism in Eukaryota, Viridiplantae, Streptophyta, Magnoliopsida, Sapindales, Anacardiaceae.